Molecule: transfer RNA, 73 nt
Filed under: Verrucomicrobiota bacterium
Lineage: Bacteria; Pseudomonadati; Verrucomicrobiota
Also listed under: 1 other name
Description: tRNA-Ala
Rfam family: tRNA
About the family: Transfer RNA (tRNA) molecules are approximately 80 nucleotides in length. Their secondary structure includes four short double-helical elements and three loops (D, anti-codon, and T loops). Further hydrogen bonds mediate the characteristic L-shaped molecular structure. tRNAs have two regions of fundamental functional importance: the anti-codon, which is responsible for specific mRNA codon recognition, and the 3' end, to which the tRNAs corresponding amino acid is attached (by aminoacyl-tRNA synthetases). tRNAs cope with the degeneracy of the genetic code in two manners: having more than one tRNA (with a specific anti-codon) for a particular amino acid; and 'wobble' base-pairing, i.e. permitting non-standard base-pairing at the 3rd anti-codon position.
Source: RNAcentral
GGGGCAUUAGCUCAGCUGGUAGAGCACCUGCAUGGCAUGCAGGGGGUCAGCGGUUCAAAUCCGCUAUGCUCCA